This 296-nucleotide unclassified non-coding RNA is filed under the name uncultured fungus. RNAcentral describes it as "partial contains small subunit ribosomal RNA, internal transcribed spacer 1, and 5.8S ribosomal RNA". The stretch from base 1 to 73 matches the Rfam family "Eukaryotic small subunit ribosomal RNA", at positions 1759 to 1831 of the family's 1831-position model. Lineage: Eukaryota; Fungi. The record is from RNAcentral.
ACAAACUUGGUCAUUUAGAGGAAGUAAAAGUCGUAACAAGGUUUCCGUAGGUGAACCUGCGGAAGGAUCAUUACCGGGUAUCAGGGGCUCCGGCCCCGCUCCCACACCCUCUGCAAACCCUUCGACGACCCCAUGGCAAAAGGUCGCGCGGGGGGACCCUUUAGGGGGCCCUUCCCACUGACCUGCCAGCCAACCAAAACUCUGCCUGGAAACCUGUGUUCUGAGCACUACUAUGAAAAUAGCGAAAAACUUUCAACAACGGAUCUCUUGGUUCUGGCAUCGAUGAAGAACGCAGC